This 133-nucleotide ribosomal RNA is filed under the name uncultured bacterium. RNAcentral describes it as "partial 16S ribosomal RNA". It matches the Rfam family "Bacterial small subunit ribosomal RNA", at positions 355 to 479 of the family's 1533-position model. The record is from RNAcentral.
UGGGGAAUAUUGCACAAUGGGCGAAAGCCUGAUGCAGCAAUGCCGCGUGUGUGAAGAAGGCCUGCGGGUUGUAGAGCACUUUCAGUGGGGAGGAAACAGUUGCGGGUUAAUAUCCCGCGACCUUGACGUUACC